Molecule: ribosomal RNA, 2634 nt
Filed under: Triticum aestivum (bread wheat)
Lineage: Eukaryota; Viridiplantae; Streptophyta; Magnoliopsida; Poales; Poaceae
Description: partial small subunit ribosomal RNA
Source: RNAcentral
AUGGCCCCGGCGGCGCCGUUGGCAUUGGUGCUGCUGUUGUCGUGCGUGGCGGUGGCCAAGGAGUGCACGAACGUGCCGACGCAGCUGUCGUCGCACACGGUGCGGGCGCGGCUGCAGAGCACGCCGGGGGCGGAGGAGUGGCGGUGGCGGGAGCUGUUCCACGACCACCUCAACCCCACCGACGAGUCCGCGUGGAUGGACCUCCUCCCCCUCGCCGGCAGCACAACGGCGGCGGCGGCGGCGGAGGAGUUCGACUGGGCGAUGCUGUACCGGACGCUCAAGGGCGGCGUCGGCUCCUCGGCGGCGCAGGCCGGGGCGUCGCCCUCGUCGUCGUCGUCGUUCCUGGUGGAGGCGUCGCUGCACGACGUGCGGCUGGACCCCGGCGACGAGGUGUACGGGCGCGCGCAGCAGACCAACCUCGAGUACCUGCUGCUCCUGGACGUGGACCGGCUGGUCUGGAGCUUCCGGAGGCAGGCCGGGCUGCCGGCGCCCGGCGCGCCCUACGGCGGCUGGGAGGGCGCCGUCGUCGAGCUCCGGGGCCACUUCGUCGGGCAUUACCUGAGCGCGGCGGCCAAGAUGUGGGCGAGCACGCACAACGGCACGCUCGCCGGCAAGAUGUCCGCCGUGGUGGACGCCCUCCACGCGUGCCAGCAGGCGCCGGCCAACGGCGGCACCGGCUACCUCUCCGCCUUCCCCGCCGAGUUCUUCGACCGCUUCGAGGCCAUCCAGCCCGUCUGGGCUCCCUACUACACCAUCCACAAGAUCAUGCAGGGCCUCCUGGACCAGUACACGGUGGCUGGCAACGGCAAGGCCCUGGCCAUGGUGGUGGCCAUGGCCGGCUACUUCGGCGAGCGCGUGAGGAGCGUGAUACAGCGGCACAGCAUCGAGCGGCACUGGACGUCGCUCAACGAGGAGACCGGCGGCAUGAACGACGUGCUCUACCAGCUCUACGCCAUCACGCAUGAUCAGCGGCACCUGGUGCUCGCCCACCUUUUCGACAAGCCGUGCUUCCUGGGAUUGCUCGCAGUUCAGGCUGACAGUCUCUCGGACUUCCACGCCAACACGCAUAUUCCGAUCGUCGUCGGCGGGCAAAUGAGAUACGAGGUUACCGGUGAUCCUCUCUACAAGGAAAUCGCAACAUUCUUCAUGGACGUGGUAAACUCUUCUCACACCUACGCAACCGGCGGCACGUCCGUCAGUGAAUUCUGGUUCGAUCCGAAGCGUUUAGCCGAGACCCUGACCACCGAGAACGAGGAGUCCUGCACUACAUACAACAUGCUCAAGGUAUCUCGCCACCUCUUCAGAUGGACCAAAGAGAUCGCGUACGCGGACUACUACGAGCGCGCGCUGAUAAACGGCGUCCUGAGCAUCCAGAGAGGGAGGGACCCCGGUGUCAUGAUCUACAUGCUGCCCCAGGGCCCCGGAAGAUCGAAGGCGGUGAGCUACCAUGGCUGGGGGACGCAGUAUGAUUCCUUCUGGUGCUGCUAUGGGACUGGGAUAGAGUCAUUUUCCAAGCUUGGCGACUCCAUCUACUUUGAGGAGAAAGGCGGCAAACCGGCGCUAUAUAUCGUUCAGUACAUACCGAGCACGUUCAAUUGGAGAUCUGUAGGCCUUACUGUCACUCAGCAAGUGAAGCCCCUCAGCUCAUCUGAUCAGAAUCUUCAGGUUUCGCUCUCCAUAUCGGCGAAGACGAACGGUCAGUACGCGACGGUGAAUGUGAGAAUUCCGUCGUGGGCAUCUGCGAAUGGUGCGCAAGCAACUUUGAAUGACAAAGAUUUGCAAAUGGCAUCUCCAGGAACCUUCCUCUCAGUCACCAAGCAGUGGGGGAGUGGUGGUCACCUCACACUCCAGCUGCCUAUUAGCCUGAGGACAGAAGCUAUAAAAGAUGAUCGGCCGGAGUAUGCGACUCUCCAAGCAGUCCUCUUCGGGCCAUUCCUCCUCGCCGGCCUCACGACCGGAGACUGGGACGCGAAGGCCGGCGGCGCCGCCAUCUCGGAAUGGAUCACCCCUGUCCCGGCAUCGUACAACUCCCAGCUGGUGACGCUCACGCAGGAAUCCGGCGGCAGCACCUUGGUCCUCUCCCUCCUGUCGACCGCGAAAGGCACCUCCGUGACGAUGCAGCCGCGGCCCGAGGGCGGCGGGACCGACGCCGCCGUGCACGCCACGUUCCGUCUGGUCACCCAGGGGCAGGGCGCCCCGCCGACGGGCGAGCGGCGCCCCGCCACCAACGGCACUGCCGCCACGGCGACGCCCGCCUCCGCGCUGAUCGAGCCGUUCGACAUGCCGGGAAUGGCGGUCACCAACAACCUGACGCUGUCGGCGGAGAAGGGCCCGAGCUCUCUGUUCAACGUCGUUCCCGGGCUCGACGGGGCGCCCGGGUCGGUCUCCCUCGAGCUCGCGGCCAGGCCGGGGUGCUUCCUGAUCACCGCCGGCGCAAAGGCGAAUGUUCAGGUCGGCUGCGGCGGCGGCACGGGGUUUUCCCCGCAGGCGGCGAGCUUCGCGCGGGCCGAGCCGCUGCGGCGGUACCAUCCGAUCAGCUUCGCCGCCAAGGGGGCGCGGAGGGGCUUCCUCCUGGAGCCAUUGUUCACGCUGAGGGACGAGUUCUACACCGUCUACUUCAACGUCGGCGCCUGA